Long non-coding RNA from Aquila chrysaetos chrysaetos, 259 nucleotides. RefSeq lists it as uncharacterized. The transcript has 3 exons. NCBI's taxonomy places the organism in Eukaryota, Metazoa, Chordata, Aves, Accipitriformes, Accipitridae. The record is from RefSeq and is a predicted model, not a curated record.
UCUGAAGCUAUGGAGGGGUGUCUGAAGACGGGCUGUGUGCUGAAGAAGUAGCAAUCACAGCAUCAAUGAAGACAUCUCUAUAUGAUAGACUGCUACACACAGAGAUGAUUUACUUGGAAAGAGGUUCAGAAGAGGGCCUUUGUACUACAAGUACCUGGAAAGGGAAAGCAAAGAGCUGAAGAUCAGUCUGAGUGGAUGCCACUUCUGUCAGAUGUUUGGCUGUGUCACAGCCAUACCUGUUCCUGUCCAUGGACUCCAC